Molecule: small RNA, 114 nt
Filed under: Marmota monax (woodchuck)
Lineage: Eukaryota; Metazoa; Chordata; Mammalia; Rodentia; Sciuridae
Source: RNAcentral
GCCGGGUGUGGUGGGUGCACGCCUGUAAUUCCAGUUACAUGGGAGGCUGAGGAAAAUGGAUUAAGGUCAGGAGUUCAAGGCCAGCCUGGGCAACAUAGCAAAAUCCUGUAUCUA